Molecule: long non-coding RNA, 434 nt
Organism: Papaver somniferum (opium poppy)
Lineage: Eukaryota; Viridiplantae; Streptophyta; Magnoliopsida; Ranunculales; Papaveraceae
Exons: 3
Source: RefSeq, a predicted model, not a curated record
AUUAAUCUAAAUAUGGACUUUUCGAGAUGAAUAUUGGUCAAUCUCGUUAAAAUUUUCAGUUCUUCAAUUAGAUCUCUUUUUCACUGUUGCCUUUUCUUUUUGAGCCUAAAACGAAAGGAGAAAGGUGUGUGGCAAAUCCACUUUUUGGAUUUAAGCUUGACGGCAUAUGAGAGUGGGAACUCAUUUUUGGAAAAGUGAGUCAAAUUGGUACUCUUUUUUCUAACGCAUAUGGUGGCGUUUUAGAGCAACAAGGCUGUUUUGUUAAAUAUGAUAAUACUAAGUUCUUAGGUGUUGAAGAUAAGACGGUUGUGUUGAAAAAAUGUGGACCAGCGAGGCAGCGAUUGGUUAUGAUACUGAUGCGUUAGGCCGUAGAGAUGCGAUGUUGGCCGGGUUAGGUUCUGGUGGUGGACCAUAUAGAGUUUUAGGGUUUUGAA